Molecule: long non-coding RNA, 368 nt
Organism: Gordionus sp. m RMFG-2023
Lineage: Eukaryota; Metazoa; Nematomorpha; Gordioida; Chordodea; Parachordodidae
Exons: 3
Source: RefSeq, a predicted model, not a curated record
AUCCUUCAUUUUCACCUCGGAAAAACGAUGUUGAGGAUCAAGAGUUUCUAGGACCUGUACAAGGGGUUGAAAAAAUUCGUCAAAUAACCCAUCCUAGAAGAAACUUUUGCCCAAUAGGUUUAGCUCCUUACGAAUGCGACGUGUCUAUUUGUAAAGACGUCACUUGUCCCAAACACGAAUAUUUUGAAUGCCAUAUUUACAAUUGCGGUGGCUGCUUCAAAAUAUUCAAGGACAUUUUGGGUUAUCAGGUGGAUUGUUAAAAAAAGAUUUGAAAACAAAGUUAUAUCAACAUAAAAUUUAUCAAGAAAAUACUCAAAACAAAAUUAGCGAAAAACUCUCCAAAAAAAGUGUUCCUUGUUAAACUAAAU